CUGGUGUCAGCCGCCGCGGUAAUACCAGCACCCCGAGUGGUCGGGACGAUUAUUGGGCCUAAAGCAUCCGUAGCCGGUACUGCAAGUCUUCCGUUAAAUCCACCUGCUCAACAGUUGGGCUGCGGGGGAUAAUACAGCGCUAGGAGGCGGGAGAGGCAAGCGGUACUUAAUGGGUAGGGGUAAAAUCCACUGAUCCAUUGAAGACCACCAGUGGCGAAGGCGGCUUGCCAGAACGCGCUCGACGGUGAGGGAUGAAAGCUGGGGGAGCAAACCGGAUUAGAUACCCGGGUAGUCCCAGCUGUAAACGAUGCAGACUCGGUGAUGGGCUGGCCUUGUGCCAACCCAGUGCCGCAGGGAAGCCGUUAAGUCUGCCGCCUGGGGAGUACGGUCGCAAGACUGAAACUUAAAG
Molecule: ribosomal RNA, 409 nt
Filed under: uncultured Nitrososphaerota archaeon
Lineage: Archaea; Thermoproteati; Nitrososphaerota
Description: bacterial SSU rRNA
Rfam family: Archaeal small subunit ribosomal RNA
Source: RNAcentral